GAUGAACGCUAGCGAUAGGCCUAACACAUGCAAGUCGAGGGGCAUCACAUGAAGUAGCAAUACGGAUGGUGGCGACCGGCGCACGGGUGAGUAACACGUAUGCAACCUGCCUUCAACAAGGGGGAUAACCCGUUGAAAGACGGACUAAUACCCUAUAACACAGGGGUCCCGCAUGGGAAUAUUUGUUAAAGGACAACCGGUUGAAGAUGGGCAUGCGUUCCAUUAGCUAGUUGGCGGGGUAACGGCCCACCAAGGCAACGAUGGAUAGGGGAACUGAGAGGUUUAUCCCCCACACUGGUACUGAGACACGGACCAGACUCCUACGGGAGGCAGCAGUGAGGAAUAUUGGUCAAUGGACGCAAGUCUGAACCAGCCACGUCGCGUGAAGG
This 389-nucleotide ribosomal RNA is filed under the name uncultured bacterium. RNAcentral describes it as "bacterial SSU rRNA". It matches the Rfam family "Bacterial small subunit ribosomal RNA", at positions 28 to 407 of the family's 1533-position model. The record is from RNAcentral.